Molecule: ribosomal RNA, 459 nt
Filed under: uncultured bacterium
Lineage: Bacteria
Description: partial 16S ribosomal RNA
Rfam family: Bacterial small subunit ribosomal RNA
Source: RNAcentral
CCUACGGGAGGCAGCAGUGAGGAAUAUUGGUCAAUGGGCGUAAGCCUGAACCAGCCAAGUCGCGUGAGGGAAGAAGGUACUAUGGUUCGUAAACCUCUUUUGUCAGGGAACAAAGGCGGGGACGAGUCCCCGGACGAAGGUACCUGAAGAAAAAGGAUCGGCUAACUCCGUGCCAGCAGCCGCGGUAAUACGGAGGAUCCGAGCGUUAUCCGGAUUUAUUGGGUUUAAAGGGUGCGCAGGCGGCCUGUUAAGUCAGCGGUAAAAUCGCGGGGCGAAACCCCGGCUAGCCGUUUAAAAUGGCGGGCUGGAGUUGGAGAGAAGUACGCGGAAUGCGUGGUGUAGCGGUGAAAUGCAUAGAUAUCACGCAGAACCCCGAUUGCGAAGGCAGCGUACCGGCUCCUGACUGACGCUGAUGCACGAAAGCGUGGGGAUCGAACAGGAUUAGAUACCCGUGUAGUC